Phrynosoma platyrhinos (Desert horned lizard) is the source of this 72-nucleotide non-coding RNA. The record is from the annotation of a GenBank genome assembly. Lineage: Eukaryota; Metazoa; Chordata; Lepidosauria; Squamata; Phrynosomatidae.
AUCAGUGUGGUGCGGUGGUUUGAGUGUUGGACUAUGAAUCUGAAUACCAGGGUUUGAAUCCCUGCUCAGCCA